RNAcentral lists this long non-coding RNA (571 nucleotides) under Brassica napus (rape). RNAcentral describes it as "long non-coding RNA (BNAP_LNC014693)". The record is from RNAcentral. Lineage: Eukaryota; Viridiplantae; Streptophyta; Magnoliopsida; Brassicales; Brassicaceae.
CCAAAUCCCAUACUAUUACAAACUCGAUUAAAAUUAAGCCCAUAUAGUUGUCAAGCCUAAUAUAUUGACUCGAAACCUAAUCGUGUAACACGUAAAAGGCCACGCGUCUCCCUUCCAAGGACUUCCUAACACGCGUCCUUCCAGGUCACAUUCCACUCGAGCUUCUGCAGACGCGCCGCCGUAACAGAUGGGAGACUGAGGAGUCGUUUCUAUCGCCACCACCGAUGCCGGUACUUGUCGCCGGCGUUGCUUUUGUCAUGAUUAAUCUGCCUCAAGCUUUAACCUUAAAACUUGAAUUCUCCCUAAUUGCUUUUCACCUUAACCGACAGUACUCAAACAGAGAGGCCUUGAUGCACCGGAUUUUAUAUCUGAGGACGCUUAAAUCGAGGUGUAGAAAGACUCUUUGCUGGACCGUCACAAGAACGCCAACUCUUCUGAACCUUCUCCAACAACGAUUUGGAGAAUCCUUCUAACUCCACCUACUUCCGAUCAGAGACGCUUCACAGAACACCACAAGUGGAUAUAUCAAAUAGCGAAGACUAAUUCUCUUAGAAAGUGGUUAGAGUGAGCG